This 425-nucleotide ribosomal RNA is filed under the name uncultured bacterium. Its description in RNAcentral is "bacterial SSU rRNA". It matches the Rfam family "Bacterial small subunit ribosomal RNA", at positions 355 to 775 of the family's 1533-position model. The record is from RNAcentral.
UCGAGGAUCUUCGGCAAUGGGCGCAAGCCUGACCGAGCGACGCCGCGUGCGGGAUGAAGGCCUUCGGGUUGUAAACCGCUGUCAGUGGGGAGGAAAUGCCGGUGGGUACUCUCAUCGGUUUGACUUAUCCGCAGAGGAAGUGUGGGCUAAGCUCGUGCCAGCAGCCGCGGUAAGACGAGCCACACAAACGUUAUUCGGAAUUACUGGGCUUAAAGGGUGCGUAGGCGGCGCGGAAAGUUGGGUGUGAAAGCCCUCGGCUCAACCGAGGAAUGGCGCCCAAAACUACCGUGCUGGAGGAAGACAGAGGUGAGCGGAACUCAGGGUGGAGCGGUGAAAUGCGUUGAUAUCCUGAGGAACACCGGUGGCGAAAGCGGCUCACUGGGUCUUUUCUGACGCUGAUGCACGAAAGCUAGGGUAGCGAACGG